AAAAUAUAUAGUUAUAGGCAUAUACAUGCAUGCCCACGGUCAUCUCCAGAGAGUGGUAAUGAGGGGAGACAGGGAGGAUGAAUUACCUUUGCUUUUAUUCACGUUUUUAGGUGUUGCUUCACUUGUUCCAACAAAUACGUAUUAAUUCUCUAAUCUGUAAAUGAUCGAGUAAAGAAAAAAAAAUUGUUGAGACUAAAAAGACGUCUGCUGUGCGCGUGGCCUGGCCCUGUCACUGCAGCAUGGGUGGGGAUCUGUUAGGCAGCGGAGCGGGCUGUCACCGGAGUCCCUGCUAACUCGGACAGAGGAACCCCUGGAAGUCCCUGACCGUCACACCUGGGCCCCGCAGAGUGCUGGGCUCAUUGGCACGUCACACUUAGAUGACAGGGGUAGCCGUGCCUUCUUGGCAGGCAGGACUCUAGCCAACAGGUAAGACCUUUCCAGGCUGGGAGUAAACAUAGGCCGCCUUUCCAGAUCAGGUGAGCAUCGCCACCUGGCAGGGAGGAGGCACGGAUUCGUUGCAGGAGAAAGAACUUGAGCUUGGGGCAGGAGAAAAAUGAGAACUUGAGUUCAAGGGCUGCCACUGCCGCCAUGAAAUGAAGUAUCUGACCGGGACUUUUUGCUUUUACAUCAGGGAAAGCUGCUUUAAGGCAAUCCUGUUUCCUAUGUCUUUCAUGUUCCACUGUCCUGUGAUCUGGGGACAGAGUAGGGGAACAAGAUUGAGUUGAUCUCUGACUUUCUGGAGCUACACUGGAGUUGGGGAGAUGGACGGAUGGUACACCAUGGACCGAGCAGAGAGAAAGAUUGCUCCGAAGGAAACCAAAAAGGGUGGGAAGAUCAGGACUGGCCUAUUUUGGAUCCGGAGGUAAUGGGACGUCUUCCUGAGGAGAGGAUGCUUUAAACCGAGUCAGGAAUGAAGAGAAGGGGCCCGCAGGCCCUCAGUGGAUUGGAUGGUGCCUACUGGUGAGGGUGACCUUCUUUACUCAUCUACUGGUUGAAACGCUAGUCUCUUCCAGAAACAUCCUCACAGACACAUCCAGAAGUAAUGUUUUACCAGGCUUCUGUAGAGGUUAACUUAGACUUGCGGCAGGAGACUGGUUUUGUGUGAGUUUGCCUGGGGAAGAAAAUGGAGGUUCCACUAUCUUCUGGGAGUUUUCCGUGGGCACUGACAGCCUGCUCGUGUGCCCAGGGCCGAAAUCUGUUAUUCCAUCUCAAUCCUAGAACCCACGAUCACAGCUCAUCCUGGGUUUAAAGGAGGGCCUAUGAGAUGAGAAGCUUUUUGGACAUAUGACCAACAUUCAGAUAAAACACCUGCUCCCACCGAGAACCUUCAAAGCCAAUUUCAUCUGCUUUUGGCCCCUUCAGAGUAGCUGCAAUUGAAGGAUAAAUGCUCCAUGCCAGUUGGUGUUUGUUCAGAGGACACUGGAAGAAGAGGGACAAAGGUGGCCUGGAUGUAUGUGUUCAUCAAGGGUUGUCAGGACCCCGUUUCUAAAAGGAGGUUUGAAAAUAACGGUUUUGACAUCGAGAUGGUUCUGGAAGUUGAUGUCGUCCAACAGUUUGGCAAACGAAGGAAGGAGGCCUGCGGGCUAAAGCUGACGUGUUGCCUGUCUUUUGUAAAUAAAGAUUUAUUGAAACACAGGCACGCCCAUUUGUUGACGGAUCGCCUGCUGCUGCUUUUGCACCAGAACACGGAGUAGUAGCGACAGGGACCACAUGGCCUACAGAACCGAAAGAAUUGACUGUGGUUCUUUACAGAAAAAGGGUGCUGGCUCUUGAUGUAGUCUAUCCAAUUCGCUGAGUAUCUUCUAAAUAGCUACUCCAUGCUCACAAAUGUAUUCAUAGGCAUUCGGAUAGCAGCUCUCAUCUGAUGAAAUGCUGAGGGCCUUUGGGAAUGUGCUGAUGUAACGGGUGUUCAGUACUGGGCGUAUGGACAGCAGGAAGUGACGCAGAUUUGGGGCCGGGAGUCAUGGUUGAGAAAAGACUCUGUCAUUAUUGUCUCAGUGGCAAGUCACUGAUCACGGCUGGGCUCUUCCUUUGUCUGCUACAUGGAGGAGAAGGUUGAUCCGCGAGCCUAAGUCUAUGGUUCUCUGAAGCAAAGGUGCCAGUGAAGUUGCUUCAUAAAAAAAAAAAAACAAAAAAAAAACAAACCUUCCGGAAUCUUCCAUUGGAGAAUUGUCACCUGCAAAGACUUCUGAGAGGAUUCUCCCCUCAAGAGUAAAUUGUCAUAAGGGCUCCCUGUGACGGUUUGUUUUUGCUGUCUUUCCACGAUGGAGAAAAGAGAGCCGAUUGGAAAUGGGGCCGUGUGGAAAUGAAACCGGGACUCCAGGUGAAGAGACAGACACAGGUAGACCCCGGCACUGUGUCGAUUCUAGCAGAAGAGGCACAUUUUUCUGGGUCCUGGCUCUGAGCGUGCGCGUGCGAGGAGUGGAGUGGCCAUCAUCUCAAAGAGACCGGGUGAGAAGGUGGCAGGUGCUGAAUGGAAACGCCAACAGACAGAAUUGGAGAGGAGCACUUGGUAGGACGCUUCCUAAAAACCCUGCUUUGCCUCAUCGGUAUGCUGUUCCGGAACAGUUCUGCCUGACGCGGUGCUCCCGCAGGAUGCUCUCCAGGAACAUUCCGGUUAGCCUACCUCAGAAGAGUAACAGCCUGUGCGUGAACCCGUUACCCUCAAGACUUUGCUCUUCUUUCCACAAUACCUUUUGGUGGCCAGUCGACUUCUUCGACUUCCUGUUAGCUUUUCAAAUGGUUGAUUUAGAAACUCAAGUUAUUCUAGCCUUGGUUAUGUGGUCUCAGGAUUCGCACAACUAGUUUUCCUCGUUAUGAAUAUUGAGAAGAGUUGGUUGGCGUGUUGUAUGAUGAGGAAGGAGCCCUGGGAUGGGAGUCCAAAGGUGUAAACUGGGGCGGGGUACUUCGUCUCUCUGAACCUCAGUCUUGUCAACAAGAGGGUGGGUUAAAGUGCUUCUUACUACCAAAUCCUAGAAGUCCUAAGAACUGUGCUCCAGAGGAGAAAACACACAUUGGCAAAUGUGGAUUUAUUCACUCUUCCGCCAUGCGUUUGUAGACUGGUUUGAGACAGUUCUGAAUUCACCUAGUAAUAACAUUAGCUUAAUUUCAUAUGGAAGGACACAGGUUCCACAGCUUAACCAUAAAACUUGUACCCUGGUUGACUUCCACCCUUUCCCUAACAAAGUAGAUGAAUUAAUCCAGACAAUUACUGUCAGGUGAAGGGGCAAGGUUGGAGAUUCUCUGAGAAAUCUGAUGGUUGUACAGAUGAUAGGGUUAAUUUGCAAGACCUCGUAUGGAACACUUCCAUUAUUUCGGUUGCUAUUAGAGUUAGAUAGUGCUGGCUGGGUAGAAAUCUGUUAAUGUUAUAAAGUUUGGGUCAAUUUACCAAUGGAAAGGACAGCACCAUUCUAGGUUUUUUUCCCCUCCUCUCUUUCUAGAAACCAUAGCAUUUAGAGAAAUUAUAUGAUGAUAUUGGACAAAUAUAGCCAAACCCAAUCAGCCCAAAAGUAGUGGAAAAGCAAACCAUUAAAACCCUCUCCCAAACAGAAGCCUAUUGGGAAGCAAGGUAUAAAUAGAGGAAAGCUUAUGAAAUGAAAUAGACAGGAUAUAAAAUUUCCAUAUCCUCAAUCCCGCAACAAGGACUUUUCUUACAUAUAUUGCCAUUACCCUGAUAAGAUUGGGAGUUGACCAGUGGCUCUAUGAAUUUAAAGCAAAUGGUGACAAUUAGGUCCUCAGGGUAUACCCUCAUCUUCUUCAUUCACUGCAUAGCCAUUAUUUUGGAGUUUUCAUUUAUAUUUUUAUGUUUAUGGUCCUUGGAGGAGGCUGAAUACUACAUUUUGACAGUGGAAUCUGAAAGAGCUACAAUUCUAGAUUCUGUAAAUACUUCUUGAUCAUAGAAAUGCCUUAGUUUUCGGGGCGCCUGGGUGGCUCAGUCUGUUAAGUGCCCGACUUCAGCUCAGGUCAUGAUCUCACCGUUUG
Molecule: long non-coding RNA, 3981 nt
Organism: Herpailurus yagouaroundi (jaguarundi)
Lineage: Eukaryota; Metazoa; Chordata; Mammalia; Carnivora; Felidae
Exons: 9
Source: RefSeq, a predicted model, not a curated record